This 15165-nucleotide long non-coding RNA is filed under the name Phaseolus vulgaris (common bean). RNAcentral's name for it is "long non-coding RNA (PVUL_LNC000129)". The record is from RNAcentral. Lineage: Eukaryota; Viridiplantae; Streptophyta; Magnoliopsida; Fabales; Fabaceae.
CUAGAUAGAGAAUUAAAAACAAAAGAAUGUUAAAUGGGAAAUUAAAAUUAUAAAUGGUGCUAGAUAUGAAAUUUUAAGCAAAGUCGAAUACCGAUUUAGCUUUUAAAAAUUCUAACUAAUUUUUUGUACAAUACAUCUUCCAAAACCCAAAUUUGCUUCUUCUCUUCCAAACCCUAAUUCCAUCUUUCACUCUAAUUCUAACUCUCUGACCCCAUUUCUUGAAGAUGACACUGUUCUUCAAUAAUGUUGAAAGAAGAAUGUUAAGGUUUUCUCUUUCUUCUUCUCUCCCCCAUUUUCUUCUUUCUCAUCCAAACCCUAAUUCCCUCUUUCAUUCUCAUUCUCACCCUCAGACCCAAUCAAGAUGACUCUGUUUCCCAAUUCAAUCGCUUGCUUCGUAUGCACCCUGUCCUCCCCUCUUCGAAUUUGGAAAGAUUUUGGGAAUUAGAAUGAGAAUGUGAAAGAAAGUGAGAAUGAAUAAAAGGAAGGAGGAACCUUGCGGCGGUGGAACUCCGACCGGUGGUUGCUGGUGCUGAUUGUAAUAACUCAUUGGGAAUGAGAUGAUUGAAUGAAGAAGUGAAUGAAUGAGAGAAGAAGAAGAAUUGGGGUAUAUCCCCUCACACCCAAUAAAUUAUCUUAUUUUCUCACACACUUUAUUUUGCAUUCAGUCAAAUAUCUUUAAUUUUAACCAGUGGUUACACAAUGUGUAACUCUAUUUUUUAUUUUUUCAUUUAUAUAUUAAACAAUAUUAUUAUUUAUAUUAAUAAUAAAAAAUUACAUUAUAUUAUAAAUAGAAAAAGUUAUUAUCAUUAUUAUUAUGGAAAAUCAUAUAUCUUGAUAUGAAUUGGCUUAAUCAAAUAGGAAUGAUUAAUAUUUUUUAAGUGUUUCAUUGUUUAUAAUAUAUAUAUAUAUAUAUAUAAUUUUCUGUUUUCAUAAUUUUUUUUUUGAUAAAUAUGUGAAUAUUUGUUAUCUUUAAUAUAUAAUCUAUACCUUUAAAAGGGAUUUUUAUUUUUAACGGUUUUUGAUAUACAUAUUUUUUUUAUCUCAUUUUAUUUUUAUAUAUUAAUAUUCUAUUUUAUUAUUUUAGGUUGAUUAUUUCGUCCUCUUUAUUUAUCCUAAAAUGUUAUCAAAAGUGAAAAAUUUUGAAAAUUUCUGAAAUUUAGUAAAUUUUUAAAACAUGAACGGCUACUUCCAAAUUUGAUUUUAUGGGUUUCGUUUUUCUCUUAAUUGAAACAGAUUAUGAGAUAAGGGUUUACUUUAAUACUGCAAAUGUUGAAGAGCCUCAACAAAGUGAUUACAUAUAAUUGAUUAUGUCACUUUAUCUUUAUGAUAAUUAUAUUUUUUUUCAUCUAUACUUAUAUAUAAAAGAGAUUUUUCUAAAUAACAUUUUUUUAUAUAUCUAUUUUUUAAAAUUUUAUCUUUAUAUUAAAAAGGAUUCUUCUUUUUGUAACUGUUUUUGAUAUACAUAUUUUUUUUCUCAUUUUAUUUUUAUAUAUUAAUAUUUUAUUUUAUUAUUUUAGGCUGUUUAUUCUGUCCUUUUUAUUUAUCACAAAAUGUUGUCAAAAGCGAACAAUUUUGAAAAUUUAUGAAAUUUAGCAAAUUUUUAAAAUGUGAGCGGUUCCUUUCAAAUUUGUUUUUCUGGGUUUUGUUUCUCUCUUUUUUCUCUUAAUUGAAACUGAUUAUGAAAUAAGGGUUUACUUCAAUACGACAAAUGUUGAAGAGUCUCAACAAAGUGAUUACAUAUAAUUGAUUAUGUCCCUUUAUCGUUUAUCUCUUUUUUCUCUUAAUUGAAGCAAAUUAUGAGAUAAGGGUUUACUUCAAUACGCCAAAUGUUGAAGAGCCUCAACUGAGUGAUUACAUAUAAUUGAUUAUGUCACUUUAUCGUUUCUCUCUUUUUUUUUCUCUUAAUUGAAACAAAUUAUGAGAUAAGGGUUCACUUUAAUACUACAAAUGUUCAAGAGCCUCAACUGAGUGAUUACAAAUCAAAUAAUUGAUCAUGUCACUUUAUCUUUAUGAUAACUAUAUAUAUUUUUCAUCUAUACCUAUAUAUAAAGGAGAUUUUCCUAAAUAACCAUUUAUACAUAUAUAUAUAUGUAUAUUUAAUUUUAUCUUUAUAUUACAAGAGUUAUCAAAAGAAUUUUAGUGAUUUUGUAAUUUUGUAAAUAUGAAAACAUAAUCAGUUUUGAACGUAGAGCAGUUUUGAAGGUAGAGUAGUUUUAAAUUUAAAAUUAAUGUCCAUCUCCUCAGUUUUCACGACGGUUACUUUCUUUUUUGAAAUAUGUUUUAAUCUCAAUGUUACAUCUUCAAUCAACCACAAUAUAACAUUUAAUUUAUUAAUUUAUUUUUAAUAAAUACAUAUACCUAUAUAAUAAUUAAAAAAAAUACGGAUACAUAGACGCCUCUGUUUCUGCUAGUAACAAAUAGUGUAAACAGAAUAUUCACAUAUACUUAUCCUUACGUGCCACACAAACAUAAAAUGAACUAUACCUAAUUUUUUAGAUAACAAAAUAUCUCUAUAAACAACAUUUUUGGUAAAAAUUUCAUCUUCCCCUUCAAGGUGUCCUUCUUUAAUAAGAUUUUUUAUUGAAGCUUAGGAAACACCUCUUGAUAAUGCAAGAUAUAAUUGACCAUGAGGUGUACAUGUAAUUAAUCACAUAAGGAACUUUCGUGUUGUACAUAUUAACGUUGGCCUUGAGGGGUGCGUUUGCUGGCGAUACGAUCGACAAAGACGAUGAACUCAUUAACAAUGUGGGGUUGGGAGUAGUCAAAGUGAUCUUCAUUGUCGGAAGCGUUCGCGAGAAUCAUGGGAUCAUAACCUUCACCUGUGCAUCUAAGCACCAACAACGACGUGUGAUCUUCAUUGUUUUCUCUCUCGCUCUAGAUUUUCUCUUUCUCACUCCCUCUAAAAAAAACUCAAUAAAAGUUCAAAGAGAAUGAGAGAGAAUAGAUCAAAAAAAAAUAUUACACAAAAUAUUCAGAUGUGUACUCGCAUAAAAUUGACACGAAAACACGAAAACACACAUAGGGAGAAUGAAAAAGAGAGGAAAAAAUUCCACAAAGAUACGAAAUAACAAACUUGCAAAGAAAAGAAGAACAAAUUUGCAGAAAAAAGAGAGGAGAAAUGAGAGAAGAAUAAAUAUAAUGAUAAAUAAUAUAUAAUCAUAAAAAGUGUAAUAAAGAAGUUGGGUAAUGAAGAAGAGAAUGUGCAUGCCUAAGAAUAAUGAAAGAGUUCUUUUUGUUGAAAGCAUCAAAUUUUCUUCUUCUUUUUUUCUUGCAUCAUACACACCGUUACAAUUUUGGGAAAAAGGGUUCACUUCUUAGAUCCAGAGUUAAUUGAGAAAGUUACAUGUUUAAUGACGUCGCGGAGAGAGGUUCUUGGAUGGUGUAAGUGAUUUUUCUCAACCAUUGCAGAAGAAAGAAAGGAAGAAGAAUGGGGUUGGAAGGCAAAUGUUUGGUUAGUUAAGUGAAAAGAGGAGUGACUCAAAACAUUUUGAAUUAUGUUUACAAUUACUAAAUAAUUCAUAAUUAAAUAUUGAAAAUUCAAAAAUUCAAAAUUUAAAAUUCAAAAUUUAGUUUUUAAAAAUAAAGAAUUCACAAAAUGACAAAUAUCUCCUCUCACACAUAUUUAAAAUAACAAAAUAAAAUAUAAAGAUAAAUAUAAAAUUGAAAUAAAAUAAAGUGAAAGUUAAGAGGAAAAUCACUUUUAUAUAUAGGUAUAGAUAAAUACAAAUACAUAUAUAAUAAUUAUAAAAAUAAAAAAUAUGAAUGCCAAACAUUCAUAAGUUUUCUCAUAUGACAUUUGCUUAGCACAAACCGGACUCCACACCGUUCAACUCAACCAAAUUUGUGUCUCCUUCUCUUUUCUUUGCUUUACAUUACCCCUUCUUCACUCUUUUAUUAUUUAAUAAAAAUAACAGUGAAGAAGGGGUAACACAAAGUAAGGAAAGAGAGAAAGAGACACAAAUUUGACUGAGUUGAAUGCUGUGAAGUCCAGCUUAUGCAAAGCAAAUGUCAUCUUAGAAGCAGGCAUCCAAUAGGCAACAAAAGCAGAGAGCAACCAAAUUGUACAAUUCAUAAAUUUCGAAAAGUGAACAUCACCAUACAACAACAAUGCAGUGCCAUAUCCUAUUUCUUCUCCCUGCUAAUGAAUAUUAAAAGAACAACAAUAAUAAAACAAGAAAAAUACAAAGCGAUAAUUGAAAAUUAGUUAAUUCGAUGUUAUGUAAUGUAUCGUUAAAACACAACACAAUAUUUCAUUUAACACAGAAUAUGACGUAGACUCUAAGAAAAGAAUGUAAAGAAGCAGUUAAGAAUGGUGCACACAAUAGCUAAUAAAGUGUAACGUUGCGCCGACAACGGUCACCGAGUCAAGUCAGAAUAAUCCAGAUCGGAUCUGACUCGGCGGUCGAAAUUAGAGAGACGCACCAACCUUCCAAGCAACGAGAGCCCUGUAAAUUUUUUUUAUGUUGGGGCGGAGGCGGAGCGUAUUUAGAAGCAUAGGGCGAAAUGGUGUUGGGAGUAGUCAAAGUGAUCUUCAUUGUCGGAAACGUUCGCGAGAAUCAUGGGAUCAUAACCUUCACCUGUGCAUCUAAGCAACAACAACGACGUGUGAUCUUCAUUGUUUUCUCUCUCACUCCCUCUAAAAAAAACUCAAUAAAAGUUCAAAGAGAAUUAGAGAGAAUAGAUCAAAAACAAAAAAUUACACAAAAUAUUCAGAUGUGUACUCGCAUAAUAUUGACACGAAAACACACCUAGGGAGAAUGAAAAAGAGAGGGAAAAAAUGCACAAAGAUAAGAAAUAACAAACUUGCAAAGAAAAGAAAAAUAAAUUUGCAGAGAAAAAGAGAUGAGAAAUGAGAGGCGAAUAAAUAUAAUGAUAAAUAAUAUAUAAUCAUACAAAGUGUAACAAAGAAGUUGAGUAACGACGAAGAGAAUGUGCAUAUCUAAAACGAAUGAAAGAGUUAUUUUUGUUGAAAGCAUGGAACUUUCUUCUUUUUUUUCCUACAUCAUUACUUACCGUUACACUUUUGGGAAAAGGGUUCACUUCUUAGAUCCAACGUUAAUUGCGAAAGUUACAUGUUUAAUGACGUUGCGGAGAGAGGUUCUUUGAUGGUGUAAAUGGUUUUUCUCAAUCAUUGGAGAAGAAAGAAAGGAAGAAGAAAGAAAGGAAGAAUAAUGGGGUUGGAAGGAAAAUGUUUGGUUGAUUAAGUGAAAAGAGGAGUGACUCAAAAUAUUUUAAAUUAUGUUUACAAUCACUCCACAAUUCAUAAUUCAAAAUUUAAAAUUCAAAAUUAAAAACUCAAAUUCAAUAUUUAAAAUUCAAAAUUUAAAAUAUAAAUUUCAAAAUUUAGUUUUUAAAAAUAAAGAAGUCAGAAAAUGACAAAUAUCUCCUCUCAUAUAUUUUUAAAAUAACAAAAUAAAAUAUAAAGAUAAAAUUGAAAUAAAAUAAAAUGAAAGUUAAGAGGAAAAUCACUUUGAUAUAUAGGUAUAGAUAAAUACAAAUAUAUAUAUAUAUAAUAAAAAUAAUAAUAAAAGUAAAAAAUACGAAUGCUAGACAUUCAUAAGUUUUCUCAUAUGACAUUUGCUUAGCACAAACCGGACUCCACACCAUUCAACUCAACCAAAUUUGUGUCUCUUUCUCUUUUCUUUGCUUUACGUUACCCCUUUUUUACUCUUUUAUUAUUUAAUAAAAAUAACAGUGAAGAAGGGGUAACGUUAAGCAAGGAAAGAGAGAAAGAGACACAAAUUUGACUGAGUUGAAUGCUGUGAAGUCCAGCUUGUGCAAAGCAAAUGUCAUCUUAGAAGCAGGCAUCCAAUAGGCAGCAAAAGCAGAGAGCAGCCAAACUGUACAAUUCAUAAAUUCCGAAAAGUGAACAUCACCAUACAACAACAAUGCAGUGCCAUAUCCCAUUUCUUCUCCAUGCUAAUGAAUAUUAAAAGAACAACAAUAAUAAAACAUGAAAAAUUCAAAGCGAUAAUUGAAAAUUAGUUAAUUCGAUGUUAUGUAAUGUAAAGUUAAAACACAACACAAUAUUUAAUUUAAAGACACACAGUAUGAUGCAGUCUCCAAGAAAAUAAUGUAAAGAAGCACUUACGAAUGGUGCGCACAAUAGCUAAUAAAGUAUAACGUUGCGCCGACAACGGUCACCGAGUCAACUCAGAAAGAUCCAGAUCAGAUCUGACUCGACGGUCGAAAUUAGAGAGAAAGAGAAAGAUAGAGAGACGCACCAGCCUUCCAAGAACCGAGAGCCCUAUGAAUUUUGUUUAUGCUGAGGUGGAGGCGGAACGUAUUGAGGAGCGUAAGGCGAAGUGGUGUUGGGAGUAGCCAAAGUGAUCUUCAUUCUCGGAAGCGUUCGCGAGAAUCAUGGGAUCAUAACCUUCACCUGUACAUCUAAGCACCAACAAUGACGUGUGAUUUUCAUUGUUUUCUCUCUCGCUCCCUCUAAAAAAAACUCAAUAAAAGUUCAAAGAGAAUUAGAGAGAAUAAAUCAAAAACAAAAAAUUACACAAAAUAUUCAGAUGUGUACUCGCAUAAUAUUGACACGAAAACACACCUAGGGAGAAUGAAAAAGAGAGGGAAAAAAUGCACAAAUAUAAGAAAUAACAAACUUGCAAAGAAAAGAAAAAUAAAUUUGCAGAGAAAAAGAGAUGAGAAAUGAGAGGCGAAUAAAUAUAAUGAUAAAUAAUAUAUAAUCAUACAAAGUGUAACAAAGAAGUUGAGUAACGACGAAGAGAAUGUGCAUACCUAAAACGAAUGAAAGAGUUCUUUUUGUUGAAAGCAUGGAACUUUUUUUUUUCCUGCAUCAUUACUUACCGUUACACUUUUGGGAAAAUGGUUCACUUCUUAGAUCCAACGUUAAUUGCGAAAGUUACAUGUUUAAUGACGUUGCGGAGAGAGGUUCUUUGAUGGUGUAAAUGGUUUUUCUCAAUCAUUGGAGAAGAAAGAAAGGAAGAAGAAAGAAAGGAAGAAUAAUGGGGUUGGAAGGAAAAUGUUUGGUUGAUUAAGUGAAAAGAGGAGUGACUCAAAACAUUUUAAAUUAUGUUUACAAUCACUCCACAAUUCAUAAUUCAAAAUUUAAAAUUCAAAAUUAAAAACUNNNNNNNNNNNNNNNNNNNNNNNNNNNNNNNNNNNNNNNNNNNNNNNNNNNNNNNNNNNNNNNNNNNNNNNNNNNNNNNNNNNNNNNNNNNNNNNNNNNNNNNNNNNNNNNNNNNNNNNNNNNNNNNNNNNNNNNNNNAAAUAAAAUAAAAUGAAAGAUAAGAGGAAAAUCACUUUGAUAUAUAGGUAUAGAUAAAUACAAAUAUAUAUAUAUAUAUAUAUAAUAAUAAAAAUAAUAAUAAAAAUAAAAAAUACGAAUGCUAGACAUUCAUAAGUUUUCUCAUAUGACAUUUGCUUAGCACAAACCGGACUCCACACCAUUCAACUCAACCAAAUUUGUGUCUCUUUCUCUUUUCUUUACUUUACGUUACCCCUUUUUUACUCUUUUAUUAUUUAAUAAAAAUAACAGUGAAGAAGGGGUAACGUUAAGCAAGGAAAGAGAGAAAGAGACACAAAUUUGACUGAGUUGAAUGCUGUGAAGUCCAGCUUAUGCAAAGCAAAUGUCAUCUUAGAAGCAGGCAUCCAAUAGGCAGCAAAAGCAGAGAGCAGCCAAACUGUACAAUUCAUAAAUUCCGAAAAGUGAACAUCACCAUACAACAACAAUGCAGUGCCAUAUUCCAUUUCUUCUCCAUGCUAAUGAAUAUUAAAAGAACAACAAUAAUAAAACAUGAAAAAUUCAAAGCGAUAAUUGAAAAUUAGUUAAUUCGAUGUUAUGUAAUGUAAAGUUAAAACACAACACAAUAUUUAAUUUAAAGACACACAGUAUGAUGCAGUCUUCAAGAAAAUAAUGUAAAGAAGCACUUACGAAUGGUGCGCACAAUAGCUAAUAAAGUAUAACGUUGCGCCGACAACGGUCACCGAGUCAACUCAGAAUGAUCCAGAUCAGAUCUGACUCGACGGUCGAAAUUAGAGAGAAAGAUAGUGAGAUGCACCAGCCUUCCAAGCAACGAGAGCCCUGUGAGUUUUGUUUAUGCAAGGUGGAGGCAGAGCGUAUUGAGGAGCGUAAGGCGAAGUGGUUUUGGGAGUAGAAAAAGAGAUCUUUAUUGUCGGAAACGUUCACGAGAAUCAUGGGAUCAUAACCUUCACUUGUGCAUCUAAGCACCAACAACGACGUGUGAUCUUCAUUGUUUUCUCUCUCGGUCUAGAUUUUCUCUCUCUCACUCCCUCUAAAAAAAACUCAAUAUAAGUUCAAAGAGAAUUAGACACAAUAGAUCAAAAACAAAAAAUUACACAAAAUAUUCAGAUGUGAACUCGCAUUAUAUUGACACGAAAACACACCUAGGGAGAAUGAAAAAGAGAGGAAAAAGGUUCACAAAGAUACGAAAUAAAGAAUUUGCAAAGAAAAGAAAAAUAAAUUUGCAGAGAAAAAGAGAUGAGAAAUGAGAGGCGAAUAAAUAUAAUGUUAAAUAAUAUAUAAUAAGAAAAAGUGUAACAAAGAAGUUAGGUAAUGAAGAAAAGAAUGUGCAUACCUAAGAAGAAUGAAAUAGUUCUUUUUGUUGAAAGCAUGAAACUUUCUUGUUCUUUUUUUUCCUGCAUCAUGACACAGCGUUACACUUUCGGGAAAAGGGUUCACUUCUUAGAUCCGACGUUAAUUGAGAAAGUGACAUGUUUAAUGACGUUGCGGAGAGAGGUUCUUUGAUGGUGUAAGUGGUUUUUCUCAACCAUUGGAGAAGAAAGAAAGGAAGAAGAAUGGGGUUGGAAGGAAAAUGUUUGGUUGAUUAAGUUAAAAGAGGAGUGACUCAAAACAUUUUGAUUUAUGUUUACAAUUACUCCAUAAUUCAUAAUUGAAAAUUUAAAAUUUAAAAUUUAAAUUUCAAAAUUCAAAAUUUAAAAUUCAAAUUCCAAAUUUAAAAUUCAAAUUUAAAAUUUAAAAUUUAUUUUUUAAAAAUAAAGAAGUCAGAAAAUGACAAAUAUCUCCUCUUAUAUAUUUUUAAAAUAACAAAAUAAAAUAUAAAGAUAAAGAUAAAAUUGAAAUAAAAUAAAAUGAAAGUUAAGAGAAAAAUCACUUUUAUAUAUAGGUAUAUAUAAAUACAAAUACAUAUAUAAUAAUUAUAAAAAUAAAAUAUACGAAUGCUAGACAUUCAUAAGUUUUGAAUAUGACAUUUGCUUAGCACAAACAAGACUCCACACCAUGCAACUCAACCAAAUUUGUGUCUCUUUCUCUUUUCUUUGCUUUACGUGACCCCUUCUUCACUCUUUUAUUUUUGUUAAAUAAUAUAAAGUCAUGGGUUCAAAUUUGCAAUUAAAUCAUUUUAGUGCUUUCGUUUUUCAAUAUGUUGUUUAUGUUUUCAUGAUGGAUUAAGGAAGGAGUAGGAAAGAAAUAGGAAGAUCUAAAUUUUUUAGCAAGAGAAAGCAUGUGAAUGAAGCAAUUUGACCUUUGGAAGGAAGAAGUAGUUCAUAUUAUUUAAUAAAAAUAAGAGUGAAAAAGAGGUAACGUAAAGCAAAGGAAAGAGAGAAAGUAACACAAAUUUGAUUGAGUUGAAUUCUCUGAAGUCCAUCUUGUGCAAAGCAAAUGUCGUCUCAGAAGCAUGCAUCCAAUAAGCAGCAUCAGCAAAGAGCAGUCAAACUGUACAAUUCAAAAAUUCGCAAAAAUGAUUAUCACCAUACAACAACAAUGCAGUGCCAUAUCCCAUUUCUUCUCCCUGCCAAUGAAUAUUAAAAGAACAACAAUAAUAAAACAUGAAACAUUCAAAGCGAUAAUUGAAAAUUAGUUAUUUCGAUGUUAUUCAAUGUAACGUUAAAACACAACACAAUAUUUUAUUCAAAGACACACAGUAUGACGGAGUCUCCAAGAAAUGAAUGUAAAGAAGCAGUAACGAAUGGUGCGCAUAAUGGCUAAUAAUGUGUAACAUUGUGCUUGUAACGGUCACCGAGUCAACUCGAAAAUAUCUGGAUCAGAUCUGACUCGGCGGUUGAAAUUAGAGAGAGAGAAAGAUAAAGAGACGCACCAUCCUUCCAAGCAACCAGAGCCCUCUGAAUUUUGAUGAUGUUGAGGCAGAGGCAUAGCGUAUUGAGGAGCGUAGGGCGAAGUGGUGUUGGGAGUAGCCCAAAUGAUCUUCAUUGUCGGAAGCGUUCGCGAGAAUCAUGAGAUCAUAACCUUCACCUAUGCAUCUAAGCACCGACAACGAUGUGUGAUCUUCAAUGUUUUCUCUCACGCUCUAGAUUUUCUCUCUGUAAGGAUCUAGAAAAUAACCUUAGAGUAGAAUUGAUACAUUUUAAAUGAUACCUGAAUAUUUUAUUAUUAAAAUGAAAAGAGCAUAUAAAUAGAAAAUUCAGUUAUUCAGGUUUCAUUUUAAAAGAACCACCAUCUCUCUACAAGUUUUCUUUUCCCUUUCCUUUUCAUUCUCUCUAAGAUUCUAAGCUCCUUGCUCAUCAGUUUGACGAUCGGAGUACGCCAUUAGACUCCUCGCAGCAAGACUGCCCGAUCAAAAUCUAUAAUAGAGUAAGUUCAUUUUUGUAUCUUUUUCCUUUCUUCCCUUCUUUCUAAGAUUUUGACCUCCUUGAUUAUCAGUUUGACGAUCAGAGUCUGGCAUUGGAAUCAUGGCAAUGAACACUACAAGAUUGCCCAAUCAAAAUCUCAAAUAAAGUAAGUUCAGCUUUUUGCUCUUUUCUUUUAGUCAAAUUUUGAACUUGUUAGAUUGUCUAUGUCUAUGUUUUGCAUGUAAAUCUUUUAGCUUAAGGGUGAAUCUCUGUUACCUUAGGGUCUCAGUGAUAUAGUUAGAUUUUUUAUCAGGACUUUGUGGUGCAGGUUAAUUAUCUUUAAACUUUUGGUAGAUUUUGAGCUCUUAGUGAGCAUUUGCUCAAGUAAAGGUAAGGGAAGCUAGUCUUAUUCUUUUAAAUAGAACCCUAGGUUAGAAAAUCUAAAUGUGAGGGUGACGUGGUCACCAGUUCCAAUUUUUGCUGGUUGGAUUGUCUCUUUUGAAGAGUAAAGUAAUAUAUUGACUAAAAUGGUUGAUUAUGAAUAUUUUAUAUUGAUUUUAAGCUGAAUAAGUUGUUGAAAGUGUUUGAAUGAAUACAAGUGAGUUGAACUGUUUUUUAAUAUUUUGUUGAAUUACUUAAAUGAGAUAUUUGAUGAAAAGUGGUUGUUAGAUUUUAGAUGAUGAUUGGUUUAGAGAGCAUAUAUUUGGAACUUAUUAUGUGUUUAAGUGGAUUUUGAGAUAUAUUUGAAUUGUUUAGAAAAGUUUAAAAUAUGAUAUGAUUGAAUGAUGCAUUGAUGUGUUACAUGAGAUAUGGAAUGAUGUGAAAGUGAGAUCAAACAUACUAUUUUCAGAAAAGGAAAUACCGUGUUAUGAUUGUUGUUAGGGUAUAUUGAUAUGUUAGGCCUGUAAUGAGACAUUCUGACUCUACUGAUAUAAUGGAAUCACAUAGAUGAAGUUAUUCAGUUGGUGAGAGUCGAUGGAGGUUCAUAUGACUUUGUUUAUGGUUUGAAAUAUAAUUUGGUCUUUCAGGUCAUAUGAAUUUACCCUGUCAUACUAGAUGAUGAGAUAUUGAGAUAUUUAUGUGCAUGGUUGUGUGGAUUCACAACGAGUAGUAUGACACUUGUAGGUCUCAAGAUUCUAAUUUCAAUAUACAAGUCUUCUGGAAGUAGAGUCAAGUGUCUGAGUAUGUGAGUCAAUAAAGAUCUGACAUGAAUAAUGUGGAUGAUAGUUGUGAUAGACACUUGAUGAAUUUGUGUAAAUUAUGAGAAUUUGAUGGAUUAUGUUUGUUCUUAAAAGUUAAAUUUAUAUUAGAAUUUUAAAAAUAGCUAGCUUACCCUGUGCUUUUUUUGUGUUUGUUUUUCUUUAAUUUGUGAUGAUUGUGUUAAUUUACACGGGAACAUAUGAAGUUGCAGGUAAUAGAGCUCCUCAGUGAGCUAGAGGAACAAAUGUUUUUAUGUUGAAUUUUUGUUUGUAAACUCUUGUGUAUAUAUUAAAUCCCUAUGAAGAGGGAUAUCUUUUUUAUAUACAAAUAUGAGAAAGUAGUAUAUGUUUAUUUUUUAAUUAGAUAUUUCUUGUUUUACUAUUAUUUAUUAUAUAUGGGUAAAUUUAAGGAUGUUACACACUCUCUCACUCCCUCUAAAAGAAACUCAAUAAAAGUUCAAAGAGAAUGUGAGAGAAUAGAUCAAAAACAAAAAAGUACAAAAAAUAUUCAAAUGUGUACUUGCAUAAUAUUGACACAAAAACACACAUAGGGAGAAUGAAAAAAAGAGGAAAAAAGUGCACAAAUAUACGAAAUAACAAAUUUGCAAAGAAAAGAAUAACAAAUUUGCACAGAAAAGAGAGGAGAAAUGAGAGACAAAUAAAUAUAAUGAUAAAUAAUAUAUAUAUAUAUAUUAUGAACUUUUUAUGUGUUUUAAUUUUCAAUUACAUAUAAACUUUUGAACAUUAUUAUGUGUGCUUUAAUUUUUAAUUAAAUGAAUGGAUGAUUAUAACUUUAUACAUUAUUUUAUUUUAUUAUGAAAAGUGGUGGUUAAAUUUUAUAAUUGUAUAAAACAGAUUAUAAAAAAGAUUAUAAAAGAGUGGUUAAAUUUUAUUUAUUCAGAAGUAAAAUUACGUCAGUUAAAAAUGUCACUACUUACGUAUAUUAUGGCGUCAGAAUCUUCUUUAAUGAAUGUAAAUUGCGACAGUUAUAACUGACACUACUUACAUAUAAAAACCGUCACUACUUACACUGUGUUUAAAGUGGCGGGUGUUGCCGCGGGUAGCGCAAAACCGCCACAUUAAACUUUGUGGCGGCCAGUUCUAUGGCGGUUUGGGAAAACGCCACAAACAUAUAUUGUGGCGGUUAUAAAAGCCAGUUUAUACGAAAAAUAACCGCCACAAUAUACACUUUUUUUUGUAGUGAUAAUCAUAAAAAGUGCAACAAAGAAGUUGGGUAAUGAAGAAGAGAAUGUGCAUACCUAAGAAUAAUGAAAGAGUUCUUUUUGUUGAAAACAUGAAACUUUAUUCUUCUUUUUUAUCCUGAAUCAUUACACACCGUUACACUUUUGGCAAAAAAUGUUCACUUCUUAGAUUCAACGUUAAUUGAGAAAGUUACAUGUUUAAUGACAUUGCGAAGAGAGGUUCUUGGAUGGUGUAAGUGACUUUUCUCAACCAUUGGAGAAGAAAGAAAGGAAGAAGAAUAAGGCUGGAAGGAAAAUGUUUGGUUGAUUAAGUGAAAAGAGGAGUGACUCAAAAUACUUUGAAUUAUGUUUACAAUUACUCCAUAAUUCAUAAUUCAAAAUUUAAAAUACAAAUUCAAAAUUCAAAAUUCAAAAUUUAGUUUUUAAAAAUAAAGAAGUCACAAAAUGAAAAAUAUCUCCUCUCAUAUUUUUAAAAUAACAAAAUAAAAUAUAAAGAUAAAAAUAAAAUUGAAAUAAAUUAAAAUGAAAGUUAGAGGAAAAUCCCUUUUAUAUAUAGGUAUAGAUAAAUACAAAUACAUAUAUAAUAAUUAUAAAAAUAAAAAAAUACGAAUGCCAAACAUUCAUAAGUUUUCUCAUAUGAUAUUUGCUUUGCACAAACCGGACUCCACAACAUUCAACUCAACCAAAUUUGAGUCUCUUUCUCUUUUCUUUGCUUUACGUUACCCCUUCUUCACUCUUUUAUUUUUGUUAAAUAAUAUGAAGUUAUGGUUGCAAAUUUGCAAUUGAAAUUAUUUUAGUGCUUUCGUUUUUCAAUCUGUUGUUUAUGUUUUCAUGAUGGAUGAAGGAAAGAGCACGAAACAAACAGGAAGAUCUAAAUUUUUUAGCAAGAGAAAGCAUGUGAAUGAAGCAAUUCGACCUUUGUAAGCAAGAAGUAGUUCAUAUUAUUUAAUAAAAAAAAGAGUGAAGAUGGGGUAACGUAAAGCAAAGGAAAGAGAGAAUGAAACACAAAUUUGAUUGAGUUGAAUGUUGUGAAGUCCAGCUUGUGCAAAGCAAAUGUCAUCUCAGAAGCAGCAUCCAAUAGGCAGCAGUAGCAUAAAGUAGCCAAACUGUACAAUUCAUAAAUUCCAAAAAAUGAACAUCACCAUACAAACACAAUGCAAUUCCAUAUCCCAUUUCUUCUCCAUGCUAAUGAAUAUUUAAAAGAACAACAUUAAUAAAACAUGAAAAUUUAAAGCGAUAAUUGAAAAUUAGUUAUUUUGAUGUUAUGUAAUGUAACGAUAAAACACAACACAGUAUUUUAUAUAAAGACACACAAUAUGACGAAGUCUUCAAGAAAAGAAUGUAAAGAAGUAGUUAUGAAUGGUGCACACAAUAGCUAAUAAUGUGUAACGUUGCGUCGACAACGAUCACCGAGUCAACUUGGAAAGAUCCGGAUCAAAUCUGACUCGACAGUCAAAAUUAGAGAGAGAGAGAGAAAUAUAGAGAGAUGCACCAACCUUCCAAGCAACCAGAGCCUUGUGAAUUUUGUGGAUGCUGAGACGGAGGCGGAGCAUAUUGAGGAGCGUAGGGCGAAGGAUAGCCCGAGGCAGGGUAGGGCAGUGGAGGAUAGCCUAGCUGUGGGGGAUAUCCGGGAGGCGGGUAUCCGGGCGGUGGAUAUCCUUCCUUUCUGUAGCCCUCUGGUGAAUAACCUAGGGAUGUGAAUUAGAAUGAGAAUCCGAAAGAAAGUUUGAAAGAAUAAAAGGAAGGUAUUCUUGCAAGAUUGGUUACUCAUAAAGUGACUCCUUCUUCUGUCUGUCUUCUGGUUUUCAUAGUGAUGUCCACGUUCUUUCAUUGAGAUGAGUGAGAGAGAAACUAUUUUCACAAUCAAGUUAGUCUGAGUACAAUAAUAUGUAGGUGAGCUAAGAGUUAAAAAUUACUUUUGGUGCUAGGUCUCCUUUGAUAUUUAUACUUUUUGAAUGGACCUCAGUUGUUAUGGGCCUUCAAUUGUUAUGGGCUUGCUUGUUGGUCCAAGAGAGGACCCAAUCAUGCCUUAAUCAUGAUUUACCACUAACCUGGUUUAAUUAUGGAUAAUUGUGAAUUUAUGGGUUGUGUUUCGAUUAAAAAAGUUAUUCAACUUAACCGACCAUUCGGUCAUGUCGACCUUUUCGACUAUCCAAUAGUACAAAAGGAGUUAGAAGGAAGGAGGAACCUUGCGGUGGUGGAACUUCGACCGGUGGUUGCUAGUGCUGAUUGUAAUAACUCAUUGGGAAUGA